This 254-nucleotide ribosomal RNA is filed under the name uncultured bacterium. RNAcentral's name for it is "partial 16S ribosomal RNA". It matches the Rfam family "Bacterial small subunit ribosomal RNA", at positions 524 to 776 of the family's 1533-position model. The record is from RNAcentral.
UAUGGGGGGGGCAAGCGUUGUUCGGAAUUACUGGGCGUAAAGGGUUCGUAGGUGGCCAACUAAGUCAGACGUGAAAUCCCUCAGCUUAACUGGGGAACUGCGUCUGAUACUGGUCUGGCUUGAGUGCAGGAGAGGAACGCGGAAUUCCAGGUGUAGCGGUGAAAUGCGUAGAUAUCUGGAGGAACACCGGUGGCGAAGGCGGCGUUCUGGACUGCAACUGACACUGAGGAACGAAAGCCAGGGGAGCAAACGGG